Long non-coding RNA from Artibeus jamaicensis (Jamaican fruit-eating bat), 696 nucleotides. RefSeq lists it as uncharacterized. Lineage: Eukaryota; Metazoa; Chordata; Mammalia; Chiroptera; Phyllostomidae. The transcript is spliced from 3 exons. The record is from RefSeq and is a predicted model, not a curated record.
GUCAGGGCCUGUGGGGUGGAGCCACCAGGGCAGGAGGUGGGGGCAAGGAGGUACCCAGUCGGCAGGAAGGGACAGAUGCCGGGGGUUCAAGAUCGGGCAAGGAUGGUCGGCUGGGGUCCCGAACUGGCUGGGGCUAAAUGACAUGUGGCUUCCCCUUCAAUGGACCGCCCCCAACUCCCUUGACACUGAACGAGACUCCGGAGCAGAACUUCCAUCCAGGCCAGCCCAGGAUACGUCCUCGGCGCAGCCCGUCCCCAGAGCAGACCUUCAGGGUCCUCAUGAGAGGGGCGGGGACGCUGAGGGAAGGGACGUGGCAACCCAGACAAACGCACUGUAGGACAGAGGAGCGUCCCACACUGGGGCACCCGUGCUCUGGGAGCCUCCCUGUCACCUGCCUUCCACACCCACUCCAGAGGCCUGGGCGCCACCUCCAGCAACACCCGUCUGCUGCCGGCCUGCACUCACCGUGACUCCAAGCCGGCUCCCAGGCUCAGAAGCACCUUGGCACAGCAUCCUAGGACCCUCGAGAGAAACAGUGCUGUGCCAGCGCCCCCCGCCCCACCCAGGCCAGGCCCCUGGCUGGCACUGAGCCCCCUCCGAGGCUGUGGCUGCACAUGUCUGAAACGACUCUGAGGCAGCCGGGGUGGCAGCACUUAUGUGACCGACAUGCUGUAGCCAAACGGGACUUACCUCAGA